CUGCAGCCACUUAAGUAACCUUUGUUCAUGGGGCCUGCUGUGCAAUGGCUGCAGGCCUUUGCACUCUUGGUGAUGCACACAGCCUAUGGCUUCAUGAGUUUGUCCCUAGGAACCUUAGAUUUUCAG
This is a small nucleolar RNA of Rattus norvegicus (Norway rat), 126 nucleotides long. Ensembl annotates it as small nucleolar RNA SNORA70. The record is from Ensembl. Lineage: Eukaryota; Metazoa; Chordata; Mammalia; Rodentia; Muridae.